This 114-nucleotide ribosomal RNA is filed under the name uncultured bacterium. RNAcentral describes it as "partial 16S ribosomal RNA". The record is from RNAcentral.
CAACGCCGCGUGGGGAUGAAGCUUCUCCGGAGGUGUAAAACCCCUUUCGUACCCGGAAGAAGUGCCCGCAAGGGUUUGACGGUACGGUAUAAGAAGCCCCGGCUAACUACGUGC